This 472-nucleotide ribosomal RNA is filed under the name Lirceolus hardeni. RNAcentral's name for it is "partial 16S ribosomal RNA". It matches the Rfam family "Bacterial large subunit ribosomal RNA", at positions 1835 to 2597 of the family's 2925-position model. The record is from RNAcentral. Lineage: Eukaryota; Metazoa; Arthropoda; Malacostraca; Isopoda; Asellidae.
CUCUUAUAAAAUUUUAAGUAAUCUCUGCCCUAUGAUUUUUAAAUGGCCGCAGUAUCUUGACUGUGCAAAGGUAGCAUAAUCAUUUGUCCCUUAAUUAGGGGCUGGAAUGAAGGAGGCGACGAAAUGUGAUCUUUUGAAUUUAGGGGUGAGAUUGACAUAAGAGUCAAAAGGCUCUUAUUUUUCUGGGGGACGAUAAGACCCUAUAAAACUUAAUCCUUUCCCAUAGCUCUAUAGACAAAAGUUUAAGGGGGAUUCAACUGGGGUGGUUUUUACUUUAACUGUAUAAGUUUAAAUAUAAAAAAUAAAUUCGAAUAACUUAAUUUAAAAUUUGAACAAGUUACUUUAGGGAUAACAGCAUAAUCCUCUCAGAGAGUCCAAAUCGGCGGGGGGGAUUAUGACCUCGAUGUUGAAUUGAGAAAAUUUCUAGUGGGCAGCCCCGUAGAGAAUUAGUCUGUUCGACUAUUAAAUUCUC